This 925-nucleotide ribosomal RNA is filed under the name Haloferax volcanii. Its description in RNAcentral is "bacterial SSU rRNA". It matches the Rfam family "Archaeal small subunit ribosomal RNA", at positions 1 to 938 of the family's 1478-position model. Lineage: Archaea; Methanobacteriati; Methanobacteriota; Halobacteria; Halobacteriales; Haloferacaceae. The record is from RNAcentral.
UUCGGGGGGGGCUCUCGAAGUCAUUGCUAUUGGGGUCCGAUUUAGCCAUGCUAGUUGCACGAGUUCAUACUCGUGGCGAAAAGCUCAGUAACACGUGGCCAAACUACCCUACAGAGAACGAUAACCUCGGGAAACUGAGGCUAAUAGUUCAUACGGGAGUCAUGCUGGAAUGCCGACUCCCCGAAACGCUCAGGCGCUGUAGGAUGUGGCUGCGGCCGAUUAGGUAGACGGUGGGGUAACGGCCCACCGUGCCGAUAAUCGGUACGGGUUGUGAGAGCAAGAGCCCGGAGACGGAAUCUGAGACAAGAUUCCGGGCCCUACGGGGCGCAGCAGGCGCGAAACCUUUACACUGCACGCAAGUGCGAUAAGGGGACACCCAAGUGCGAGGGCAUAUAGUCCUCGCUUUUCUCGACUGUAAGGGGUCGUGGAAUAAGAGCUGGGCAAGACCGGUGCCAGCCGCCGCGGUAAUACCGGCAGCUCAAGUGAUGACCGAUAUUAUUGGGCCUAAAGCGUCCGUAGCCGGCCACGAAGGUUCAUCGGGAAAUCCGCCAGCUCAACUGGCGGGCGUCCGGUGAAAACCACGUGGCUUGGGACCGGAAGGCUCGAGGGGUACGUCCGGGGUAGGAGUGAAAUCCCGUAAUCCUGGACGGACCACCGAUGGCGAAAGCACCUCGAGAAGACGGAUCCGACGGUGAGGGACGAAAGCUAGGGUCUCGAACCGGAUUAGAUACCCGGGUAGUCCUAGCUGUAAACGAUGCUCGCUAGGUGUGACACAGGCUACGAGCCUGUGUUGUGCCGUAGGGAAGCCGAGAAGCGAGCCGCCUGGGAAGUACGUCCGCAAGGAUGAAACUUAAAGGAAUUGGCGGGGGGAGCACUACAACCGGAGGAGCCUGCGGUUUAAUGAUCACCACCCCCCCCGGGAAAG